This 588-nucleotide ribosomal RNA is filed under the name Triticum aestivum (bread wheat). RNAcentral's name for it is "partial small subunit ribosomal RNA". Lineage: Eukaryota; Viridiplantae; Streptophyta; Magnoliopsida; Poales; Poaceae. The record is from RNAcentral.
AUGAUCCACCGCCCGGAUCCACCCCGUGCCAUCUUAUUUUCCUUCCGGAGCUCCUUCCCUUCGUCUCAUCCCUCUCCUGUGUUCUCUGUAACAUCUCCAUGGCCGCCCGAUGCUCAAGCAGCUACGGGGAACCGCUCCUUCGGCUUGCGUUCCUCGCCACCAACCGGAGCUCCGAUGGGAUCUCGCUGGACCUCGACCAGGACCUCGCCGUCGACAUCGCUGCCAUGGAACCGCAGCUCCGCCGUCUGCCCGCUCCUCGCCGGAGUGCCUUGCAGCGCCUCGCCUCCCAGCCAUGCUUCCCGUCCUGGAUGCCCGAACAAGCUCGCCGGUGUCCUCGCACCGUCUGCCACCAGCAGAACUAGGGCCCAUGCCUCGCGCCCUCCUCUUCAUCGUCCUUCGUCGCCUGGAGUCGUCGGUUGCUCGCGCCAAGUCCCGCCGCAGCGCCCUUGUUCCUCUGUCGUGGCCCGCGCCAUCCCCGGCGAGCAAGCCACCAGCAGCGCCACAGCCGUCCUCAUCCAUGUGCUCGAGUCCACGAGCGAGGACCUCGCUGCGUCCCUGCCCAAGGACCACCCGGUCCGCCUCCGCUAG